AGAGUUUGAUCCUGGCUCAGGAUGAACGCUGGCGGCGUGCCUAACACAUGCAAGUCGAGCGAUUCUCUUCGGAGAAGAGCGGCGGACGGGUGAGUAACGCGUGGGUAACCUGCCCUGCACACACGGAUAACAUACCGAAAGGUAUGCUAAUACGAGAUAAUAUGCUUUUAUCGCAUGGUAGAAGUAUCAAAGCUCCGGCGGUACAGGAUGGACCCGCGUCUGAUUAGCUAGUUGGUAAGGUAACGGCUUACCAAGGCGACGAUCAGUAGCCGACCUGAGAGGGUGAUCGGCCACAUUGGAACUGAGACACGGUCCAAACUCCUACGGGAGGCAGCAGUGGGGAAUAUUGCACAAUGGGCGAAAGCCUGAUGCAGCAACGCCGCGUGAGCGAUGAAGGCCUUCGGGUCGUAAAGCUCCGUCCUCAAGGAAGAUAAUGACGGUACUUGAGGAGGAAGCCCCGGCUAACUACGUGCCAGCAGCCGCGGUAAUACGUAGGGGGCUAGCGUUAUCCGGAAUUACUGGGCGUAAAGGGUGCGUAGGUGGUUUCUUAAGUCAGAGGUGAAAGGCUACGGCUCAACCGUAGUAAGCCUUUGAAACUGGGAAACUUGAGUGCAGGAGAGGAGAGUGGAAUUCCUAGUGUAGCGGUGAAAUGCGUAGAUAUUAGGAGGAAUACCAGUUGCGAAGGCGGCUCUCUGGACUGUAACUGACACUGAGGCACGAAAGCGUGGGGAGCAAACAGGAUUAGAUACCCUGGUAGUCCACGCCGUAAACGAUGAGUACUAGCUGUCGGAGGUUACCCCCUUCGGUGGCGCAGCUAACGCAUUAAGUACUCCGCCUGGGAAGUACGCUCGCAAGAGUGAAACUCAAAGGAAUUGACGG
RNAcentral lists this ribosomal RNA (879 nucleotides) under uncultured bacterium. RNAcentral's name for it is "bacterial SSU rRNA". It matches the Rfam family "Bacterial small subunit ribosomal RNA", at positions 8 to 916 of the family's 1533-position model. The record is from RNAcentral.